UCGUCAGACGAACGCUGGCGGCGUGCCUAAUACAUGCAAGUCGAGCGAACAGAAGGGAGCUUGCUCCCGGAUGUUAGCGGCGGACGGGUGAGUAACACGUGGGUAACCUGCCUGUAAGACUGGGAUAACUCCGGGAAACCGGAGCUAAUACCGGAUAGUUCCUUGAACCGCAUGGUUCAAGGAUGAAAGACGGUUUCGGCUGUCACUUACAGAUGGACCCGCGGCGCAUUAGCUAGUUGGUGGGGUAAUGGCUCACCAAGGCGACGAUGCGUAGCCGACCUGAGAGGGUGAUCGGCCACACUGGGACUGAGACACGGCCCAGACUCCUACGGGAGGCAGCAGUAGGGAAUCUUCCGCAAUGGACGAAAGUCUGACGGAGCAACGCCGCGUGAGUGAUGAAGGUUUUCGGAUCGUAAAGCUCUGUUGUUAGGGAAGAACAAGUGCGAGAGUAACUGCUCGCACCUUGACGGUACCUAACCAGAAAGCCACGGCUAACUACGUGCCAGCAGCCGCGGUAAUACGUAGGUGGCAAGCGUUGUCCGGAAUUAUUGGGCGUAAAGGGCUCGCAGGCGGUUUCUUAAGUCUGAUGUGAAAGCCCCCGGCUCAACCGGGGAGGGUCAUUGGAAACUGGGAAACUUGAGUGCAGAAGAGGAGAGUGGAAUUCCACGUGUAGCGGUGAAAUGCGUAGAGAUGUGGAGGAACACCAGUGGCGAAGGCGACUCUCUGGUCUGUAACUGACGCUGAGGAGCGAAAGCGUGGGGAGCGAACAGGAUUAGAUACCCUGGUAGUCCACGCCGUAAACGAUGAGUGCUAAGUGUUAGGGGGUUUCCGCCCCUUAGUGCUGCAGCUAACGCAUUAAGCACUCCGCCUGG
RNAcentral lists this ribosomal RNA (872 nucleotides) under bacterium. RNAcentral describes it as "bacterial SSU rRNA". It matches the Rfam family "Bacterial small subunit ribosomal RNA", at positions 22 to 876 of the family's 1533-position model. The record is from RNAcentral.